UUCGUGGGUGUGUUUGUUCCACUAGGGGAUAAAGACAGACUAGAGAGGCACACAAAUAAAUCCUCUUUUGCAACCCAGAACUCAUUGUUCAGUAUGAGUUUUGAGAUAAACAAGAACAAA
Small nucleolar RNA from Myodes glareolus (Bank vole), 120 nucleotides. RefSeq annotates it as small nucleolar RNA SNORA40. The record is from RefSeq and is a predicted model, not a curated record. NCBI's taxonomy places the organism in Eukaryota, Metazoa, Chordata, Mammalia, Rodentia, Cricetidae.